RNAcentral lists this ribosomal RNA (491 nucleotides) under uncultured bacterium. RNAcentral describes it as "bacterial SSU rRNA". It matches the Rfam family "Bacterial small subunit ribosomal RNA", at positions 34 to 518 of the family's 1533-position model. The record is from RNAcentral.
CGCUGGCGGCGUGCUCACACAUGCAAGUCGAACGGACGGUAGCAAUACCGUUAGUGGCGGACGGGUGAGUAACACGUGAACAACGUGCCUCCUUCACGGGGAUAACACCGGGAAACUGGUGCUAAUACCGGAUAAGACCCCGAGAUCACAUGGUCUUGGGAUGAAAGGCGGAGCAAUCUGCCGAGAGGAGAGCGGUUCGCGUCCCAUCAGCUAGUAGGCGGGGUAACAGCCCACCUAGGCGACGACGGGUAGCCGGCCUGAGAGGGUGUACGGCCACACUGGAACUGAGACACGGUCCAGACUCCUACGGGAGGCAGCAGUGGGGAAUCUUGGUCAAUGGGGGAAACCCUGACCCAGCGACGCCGCGUGCGCGAUGAAGGCCUUCGGGUCGUAAAGCGCUGUCUUCAGGGACGAACGACGAGGUGAGUAACUGCGCUUCGUGUGACGGUACCUGAGGAGGAAGCCACGGCUAACUACGUGCCAGCCGCCGC